GUCUUCAUGGCUUAGUUGGUUAAAGCGUCGGUCUCAUAUGACAAUAUGAUCCAGUCGACGAACACUGGAGUCAUCCGAAGGUCGCGAGUUCGACUCUCGCUGAGGACA
This is a non-coding RNA of Claviceps citrina, 108 nucleotides long. Lineage: Eukaryota; Fungi; Ascomycota; Sordariomycetes; Hypocreales; Clavicipitaceae. The record is from the annotation of a GenBank genome assembly.